Molecule: ribosomal RNA, 814 nt
Filed under: uncultured Staphylococcus sp.
Lineage: Bacteria; Bacillati; Bacillota; Bacilli; Caryophanales; Staphylococcaceae
Description: bacterial SSU rRNA
Rfam family: Bacterial small subunit ribosomal RNA
Source: RNAcentral
UCUGACGUUAGCGGCGGACGGGUGAGUAACACGUGGAUAACCUACCUAUAAGACUGGGAUAACUUCGGGAAACCGGAGCUAAUACCGGAUAAUAUAUUGAACCGCAUGGUUCAAUAGUGAAAGACGGUUUUGCUGUCACUUAUAGAUGGAUCCGCGCCGCAUUAGCUAGUUGGUAAGGUAACGGCUUACCAAGGCAACGAUGCGUAGCCGACCUGAGAGGGUGAUCGGCCACACUGGAACUGAGACACGGUCCAGACUCCUACGGGAGGCAGCAGCAGGGAAUCUUCCGCAAUGGGCGAAAGCCUGACGGAGCAACGCCGCGUGAAUGAUGAAGGUCUUCGGAUCGUAAAACUCUGUUAUUAGGGAAGAACAAAUGUGUAAGUAACUAUGCACGUCUUGACGGUACCUAAUCAGAAAGCCACGGCUAACUACGUGCCAGCAGCCGCGGUAAUACGUAGGUGGCAAGCGUUAUCCGGAAUUAUUGGGCGUAAAGCGCGCGUAGGCGGUUUUUUAAGUCUGAUGUGAAAGCCCACGGCUCAACCGUGGAGGGUCAUUGGAAACUGGAAAACUUGAGUGCAGAAGAGGAAAGUGGAAUUCCAUGUGUAGCGGUGAAAUGCGCAGAGAUAUGGAGGAACACCAGUGGCGAAGGCGACUUUCUGGUCUGUAACUGACGCUGAUGUGCGAAAGCGUGGGGAUCAAACAGGAUCAGAUACCCUGGUAGUCCACGCCGUAAACGAUGAGUGCUAAGUGUUAGGGGGUUUCCGCCCCUUAGUGCUGCAGCUAACGCAUUAAGCACUCCGCCUGGGGAGUACGA